GCCAGGCAUGGUGGCACAUGCCUAUAAUCUCAACAGCUCAGAGGCUGAGGUAGGUGGAUUGUGAGUUUGAAGCCAGCCUCCGGAAUUUAGCAAGACCUUGUCUCAA
RNAcentral lists this small RNA (106 nucleotides) under Marmota monax (woodchuck). The record is from RNAcentral. Lineage: Eukaryota; Metazoa; Chordata; Mammalia; Rodentia; Sciuridae.